Agelaius phoeniceus (red-winged blackbird) is the source of this 831-nucleotide long non-coding RNA. RefSeq lists it as uncharacterized. NCBI's taxonomy places the organism in Eukaryota, Metazoa, Chordata, Aves, Passeriformes, Icteridae. The record is from RefSeq and is a predicted model, not a curated record.
AAUACUAGGAGAUAAUAUUACAUCACUGCAAGAUAAAGUCUCCCAUCAAAACAAGUUAUAUCAAAGCUGAUUUUCAUCUGCCCUGGUAUCUUCCCCAUCCCAUGCUGGGACAAGUCUGACAGCCUGCAGUUCCUUCUGGGCUCCUCCUGAUCUCAAAAGCCAUCUUGGGGAAAAAGGAAACAGCUUCUGCUAUCUACUCUAGUGCACAGGCAAGCAAUAAUCACAGAUUCUUGGAUCCAGAUGAAAGGAAACUCUUCCUUUAAUUUCCUCCACUGCAGCUGUCCUGAAGUCAUCAGCCAUACCUAGUGAUGAGCUCUUGCUGUGGGAGCACUAUCAGCUUUGUGCAAACCUCAUGGAAGUUUCUGCUAAACAUUGCAGAGAUCACACCUACUGUUCCUUAAAGUUUGACAGCCUCUCCCUUUCUGCUCCACUUCAUCUUUGCUUAGCCUUUUGCAGAAAACUCAUGAGACUCAUAGGGUUUGUGAAACUAGGGGAGAGUCCACCAGGGCUGCUGACAGAUGCACUUUGAGGCAAGAAGUUGUGAAUAUGCAGCAAAUAUUCUCUAAGCAAACUGAAGAUAUGCAAGUAAAAAUAAAAAGUCCAGUGGUUCAAAAUGAGAUUAUUGUCACAGGAAAUGGAGCAGUCUCUGCAGUCAGAAAGAUAUGGACACACCAUUAUGACUGGCUUGAUAUGGGGAGAACUCCUGAUACACAGAGGCUAGUGAUGGCCUGACCUUUCUAAGCUCCUCAUUUUUGUAGUAGUCUUAAAUGGAAGGGCAUGUCAGUCUGUGAUACUGCCCCCUCUGUGUCACAAUAAAAAAUGAAGUAAACA